CCUACGGGAGGCAGCAGUGAGGAAUAUUGGUCAAUGGACGAGAGUCUGAACCAGCCAAGUAGCGUGAAGGAUGACUGCCCUAUGGGUUGUAAACUUCUUUUAUAAAGGAAUAAAACGAGGCACGUGUGCCUUUUUGCAUGUACUUUAUGAAUAAGGAUCGGCUAACUCCGUGCCAGCAGCCGCGGUAAUACGGAGGAUCCGAGCGUUAUCCGGAUUUAUUGGGUUUAAAGGGAGCGUAGAUGGGUUGUUAAGUCAGUUGUGAAAGUUUGCGGCUCAACCGUAAAAUUGCAAUUGAUACUGGCAGUCUAGAGUACAGUUGAGGUAGGCGGAAUUCGUGGUGUAGCGGUGAAAUGCUUAGAUAUCACGAAGAACCCCGAUUGCGAAGGCAGCUUACUAAGCUGUGACUGACAUUGAUGCUCGAAAGUGUGGGUAUCAAACAGGAUUAGAUACCCUUGUAGUC
RNAcentral lists this ribosomal RNA (460 nucleotides) under uncultured bacterium. RNAcentral's name for it is "partial 16S ribosomal RNA". It matches the Rfam family "Bacterial small subunit ribosomal RNA", at positions 338 to 795 of the family's 1533-position model. The record is from RNAcentral.